UGAGGCGACUAGGUGGUCGCGGCUUGGCGGCGCGCAGCGCCGUCAGGGUGAGGAACGUCCGGACUCCACAGGGCACGGCGCCGGGUAACACCCGGGCGGGGCGACCCGCGGACAGGGCCACAGAGACAUAGCGCGCGCCUCAAACUCAGCAGACCGAGUUUGAGGUUGGCGUAAGGGUGAAAAGGUGGUGUAAGAGACCACCGGCGUGCCGGGUAACCGGUGCGGCCAGGCAACCCCCGUCGGGAGCAAAGCCGAGCAGAGGUAAGUGUCUGGAGCCUGGCUCCGGACAGGCGCGCGGCCCGCGAGCCCUCCCCUCCUGGGGAGCGAACUUCGGGUAGGCUGCACGAGGCCGGGGGCAACCCCGGUCCUAGACAGAUGACCACCAGGCCGUCACAGCAGUGUGACGGUCGACAGAAUCCGGCGUACCGGUCGCCUCAGGCU
RNAcentral lists this RNase P RNA (441 nucleotides) under Anaerolineae bacterium. RNAcentral's name for it is "RNase P RNA component class A". It matches the Rfam family "Bacterial RNase P class A". Rfam says of the family: Ribonuclease P (RNase P) is a ubiquitous endoribonuclease, found in archaea, bacteria and eukarya as well as chloroplasts and mitochondria. Its best characterised activity is the generation of mature 5'-ends of tRNAs by cleaving the 5'-leader elements of precursor-tRNAs. The record is from RNAcentral. Lineage: Bacteria; Bacillati; Chloroflexota; Anaerolineae.